GAUAUGGCUCAGGAUGAACGCUGGCGGCGUGCCUAAUACAUGCAAGUAGAACGCUGAAGGAAGGAGCUUGCUCUUUCCGGAUGAGUUGCGAACGGGUGAGUAACGCGUAGGUAACCUGCCUGGUAGCGGGGGAUAACUAUUGGAAACGAUAGCUAAUACCGCAUAACAAUAGAUGUUGCAUGACAACUAUUUGAAAGGGGCAAUUGCUCCACUACCAGAUGGACCUGCGUUGUAUUAG
Molecule: ribosomal RNA, 238 nt
Filed under: uncultured bacterium
Lineage: Bacteria
Description: partial 16S ribosomal RNA
Rfam family: Bacterial small subunit ribosomal RNA
Source: RNAcentral